UUGACCUCGAAUCAGGUAGGAAUACCCGCUGAACUUAAGCAUAUCAAUAAGCGGAGGAAAAGAAACCAACCGGGAUUACCUCAGUAACGGCGAGUGAAGCGGUAACAGCUCAAAUUUGAAAUCUGGCUCUUGCGGAGUCCGAGUUGUAAUUUGUAGAAGAUGCUUUGGGUUGUGGGUUCGGCCUAAGUUCCUUGGAACAGGACGUCAUAGAGGGUGAGAAUCCCGUAUGUGGCCGAGGCCCGCGCCUAUGUAAAGCUCUUUCAACGAGUCGAGUUGUUUGGGAAUGCAGCUCAAAAUGGGUGGUAAAUUUCAUCUAAAGCUAAAUAUGGGCCAGAGACCGAUAGCGCACAAGUAGAGUGAUCGAAAGAUGAAAAGCACUUUGGAAAGAGAGUUAAACAGUACGUGAAAUUGUUGAAAGGGAAGCGCUUGCAACCAGACUUGGGCGCUGCCGAUCACCUUGAGUUUUCUCGAGUGCACUCGACAGCGCACAGGCCAGCAUCGGUUCGGGUGGCUGGAUAAAGGCCGUAGGAAUGUGGCUCUCUUCGGGGAGUGUUAUAGCCUACGGUGCCAUGCAGCCCAGCCGGACCGAGGACCGCGCCUUCGGGCUAGGAUGCUGGCGUAAUGGUUGUAAGCGACCCGUCUUGAAACACGGACCAAGGAGUCUAACAUCUAUGCGAGUGUUUGGGUGGUAAACCCAUACGCGGAAUGAAAGUGAACGUAGGUGAGAACCCCUUUGGGGCGCAUCAUCGACCGAUCCUGAU
This 761-nucleotide ribosomal RNA is filed under the name Erysiphe quercicola. RNAcentral describes it as "eukaryotic LSU rRNA". It matches the Rfam family "Eukaryotic large subunit ribosomal RNA", at positions 1 to 775 of the family's 3401-position model. Lineage: Eukaryota; Fungi; Ascomycota; Leotiomycetes; Helotiales; Erysiphaceae. The record is from RNAcentral.